GGAAUCCCACCGGGCAAGGUUUAGCCAACCACCCGUAGCCAGCCUUGGAGCAUAGCUGGUAACAGCUAUGUUUAAGCGUAGGCAGGCGAGACAGCGGGCCGAAAGCCGCAAGGUUGAAGGGAUUGAGCUUCG
This is a non-coding RNA of Syntrophaceticus schinkii, 132 nucleotides long. The record is from Rfam. Lineage: Bacteria; Bacillati; Bacillota; Clostridia; Thermoanaerobacterales; Thermoanaerobacterales Family III. Incertae Sedis.